This 467-nucleotide ribosomal RNA is filed under the name uncultured bacterium. RNAcentral describes it as "partial 16S ribosomal RNA". It matches the Rfam family "Bacterial small subunit ribosomal RNA", at positions 28 to 507 of the family's 1533-position model. The record is from RNAcentral.
GACGAACGCUGGCGGCGUGCUUAACACAUGCAAGUCGAACGGAAAGGCCUCUUUUGGGGGGUACUCGCGUGGCGAACGGGUGAGUAACACGUGAGUAACCUGCCCUUGACUUAGGGAUAACUUCUGGAAACUGGGGCUAAUACCGGAUAGGAGCUCCUGCUGCAUGGUGGGGGUUGGAAAGUUUCGGCGGUUGGGGAUGGACUCGCGGCUUAUCAGCUUGUUUGUGGGGUAGUGGCUUACCAAGGCUUUGACGGGUAGCCGGCCUGAGAGGGUGACCGGCCACAUUGGGGCUGAGAUACGGCCCAGACUCCUACGGGAGGCAGCAGUGGGGAAUAUUGCACAAUGGGUGGAAGCCUGAUGCAGCAACGCCGUGUGCGGGAUGACGGCCUUCGGGUUGUAAACCGCUUUCGCUCAUGACGAAGCUUUGUGUGACGGUAGUGGGUAAAGAAGCACCGGCUAACUACGUG